This 486-nucleotide ribosomal RNA is filed under the name uncultured bacterium. Its description in RNAcentral is "partial 16S ribosomal RNA". It matches the Rfam family "Bacterial small subunit ribosomal RNA", at positions 899 to 1397 of the family's 1533-position model. The record is from RNAcentral.
ACUCAAAUGAAUUGACGGGGACCCGCACAAGCAGCGGAGCGUGUGGUUUAAUUCGAGGCUACGCGAAGAACCUUACCAGGGAUUGACAUGACGGUGGUAGUGAAGCGAAAGCGGAACGACCCUUCGGGGAGCCGCCACAGGUGAUGCAUGGCUGUCGUCAGCUCGUGCCGUGAGGUGUUUGGUUAAGUCCACUAACGAGCGCAACCCUUAGCGCCAGUUACACGUGUCUGGCGCGACUGCCGGUAUUAAGCCGGAGGAAGGUGGGGAUGACGUCAAGUCAGCAUGUCCUUUAUACCCUGGGCUACACACACGCUACAAUGGUCAGUACAGUCGGUUGCCAAGCCGCGAGGCGGAGCCAAUCCACAAAAGCUGAUCUCAGUUCGGAUUGCAGGCUGCAACUCGCCUGCAUGAAGUCGGAGUUGCUAGUAACCGCCGGACAGCUAUACGGCGGUGAAUACGUUCCCGGGUCUUGCACACACCGCCCGU